CUACGGAGGGGGCUAGCGUUGUUCGGAAUUACUGGGCGUAAAGCGCGUGUAGGCGGAUCGUUAAGUCAGGGGUGAAAGCCCGGGGCUCAACCCCGGAACUGCCCUUGAUACUGGCGAUCUAGAGUCCGGAAGAGGUGGGCGGAAUUCCCGGUGUAGAGGUGAAAUUCGUAGAUAUCGGGAGGAACACCAGUGGCGAAGGCGGCUCACUGGUCCGGUACUGACGCUGAAACGCGAAAGCGUGGGGAGCAAACAGGAUUAGAAACCCCAGUAGUCC
RNAcentral lists this ribosomal RNA (274 nucleotides) under uncultured bacterium. RNAcentral describes it as "partial 16S ribosomal RNA". It matches the Rfam family "Bacterial small subunit ribosomal RNA", at positions 523 to 796 of the family's 1533-position model. The record is from RNAcentral.